CAGAAUGAACGCUGGCGGCAUGGAUUAGGCAUGCAAGUCGAACGUGAAGCCCGAGCUUGCUUGGGUGGAAAGUGGCGAAAGGGUGAGUAACACGUGAGCAACCUGCCCCCGACUUCGGGAUAGCCCCGGGAAACUGGGAUUAAUACCGGAUGCGGUCGGAUUUCCACAUGGUGAUCCGUUCAAAGAUUGAGUUCGGUCGGGGAUGGGCUCGCGGCCCAUUAGCUAGUUGGCGGGGUAACGGCCCACCAAUGCUGAGACGGGUAGGUGGUCUGAGAGGAUGGUCACCCACACUGGGACUGAGACACUGCCCAGACUCCUACGGGAGGCUGCAGUCGAGAAUCUUCCGCAAUGGGCGCAAGCCUGACGGAGCGAUGCCGCGUGAGGGAUGACGGCCUUCGGGUUGUAAACCUCUGUCAGAGGGGACGAAAUUUGACGGUACCCUCAGAGGAAGCCACGGCUAACUACGUGCCAGCAGCCGCGGUAAUACGUAGGUGGCGAGCGUUAUUCGGAUUCACUGGGCGUAAAGGGUUCGUAGGGGGUCUGCCAAGUCUGAUGUGAAAUCCCGCGGCUCAACCGCGGACGUGCAUUGGAUACUGUCGGACUUGAGUCCUUGAUGGGAAAGCGGAAUUCCAGGUGUAGCGGUGGAAUGCGUAGAUAUCUGGAAGAACACCAGCGGCGAAGGCGGCUUUCUGGCAAGUGACUGACCCUGAUGGACGAAAGCGUGGGUAGCGAACAGGAUUAGAUACCCUGGUAGUCCACGCCGUAAACGUUGUGCACUAGAUGUGGGGGGUCCUUUGGUCCCUUCCGUGUCCAAGCUAACGCGAUAAGUGCACCGCCUGGGGACUACGGCCGCAAGGCUAAAACUCAAAGGAAUUGACGGGGGCCCGCACAAGCGGUGGAGCAUGUGGCUUAAUUCGAGGCAACGCGAAGAACCUUACCUGGGUUUGACAUGCACCGGACCGUCCGUGAAAGCGGAUUUCCCUUCGGGGUCGGUGCACAGGUGCUGCAUGGCUGUCGUCAGCUCGUGCCGUGAGGUGUUCGGUUAAGUCCGGCAACGAGCGCAACCCAUGUGGUCAGUUGCCAGCAGGUCAUGCCGGGCACUUUGGCCAGACUGCCCGUGUCAAGCGGGAGGAAGGCGUGGAUGACGUCAAGUCCGUAUGGCCCUUACGUCCAGGGCUGCACACGUGCUACAAUGGUCGGUACAGCGGGAGGCAAGACCGCGAGGUGGAGCCAAUCCUCAAAGCCGGCCCCAGUUCGGAUCGGAGUCUGCAACUCGACUCCGUGAAGUCGGAAUCGCUAGUAAAGGCGUACCAGCAACGACGCCUUGNAUACGUUCCCGGGCAUUGUACACACCGCCCGUCACAUCAUGGAAGCUGGUUGCACCCGAAGUCGUCGGCCCAACUUUUCGAAGGGGGAGACGCCGAAGGUG
This 1429-nucleotide ribosomal RNA is filed under the name uncultured organism. Its description in RNAcentral is "bacterial SSU rRNA". It matches the Rfam family "Bacterial small subunit ribosomal RNA". The record is from RNAcentral.